This 1372-nucleotide ribosomal RNA is filed under the name uncultured bacterium. RNAcentral describes it as "bacterial SSU rRNA". It matches the Rfam family "Bacterial small subunit ribosomal RNA", at positions 28 to 1381 of the family's 1533-position model. The record is from RNAcentral.
GAUAAACGCUGGCGGCGUGCCUAAUACAUGCAAGUCGAGCGAACGGACGAGAAGCUUGCUUCUCUGAUGUUAGCGGCGGACGGGUGAGUAACACGUGGAUAACCUACCUAUAAGACUGGGAUAACUUCGGGAAACCGGAGCUAAUACCGGAUAAUAUUUUGAACCGCAUGGUUCAAAAGUGAAAGACGGUCUUGCUGUCACUUAUAGAUGGAUCCGCGCUGCAUUAGCUAGUUGGUAAGGUAACGGCUUACCAAGGCAACGAUGCAUAGCCGACCUGAGAGGGUGGUCGGCCACACUGGAACUGAGACACGGUCCAGACUCCUACGGGAGGCAGCAGUAGGGAAUCUUCCGCAAUGGGCGAAAGCCUGACGGAGCAACGCCGCGUGAGUGAUGAAGGUCUUCGGAUCGUAAAACUCUGUUAUUAGGGAAGAACAUAUGUGUAAGUAACUGUGCACAUCUUGACGGUACCUAAUCAGAAAGCCACGGCUAACUACGUGCCAGCAGCCGCGGUAAUACGUAGGUGGCAAGCGUUAUCCGGAAUUAUUGGGCGUAAAGCGCGCGUAGGCGGUUUUUUAAGUCUGAUGUGAAAGCCCACGGCUCAACCGUGGAGGGUCAUUGGAAACUGGAAAACUUGAGUGCAGAAGAGGGAAGUGGAAUUCCAUGUGUAGCGGUGAAAUGCGCAGAGAUAUGGAGGAACACCAGUGGCGAAGGCGACUUUCUGGUCUGUAACUGACGCUGAUGUGCGAAAGCGUGGGGAUCAAACAGGAUUAGAUACCCUGGUAGUCCACGCCGUAAACGAUGAGUGCUAAGUGUUAGGGGGUUUCCGCCCCUUAGUGCUGCAGCUAACGCAUUAAGCACUCCGCCUGGGGAGUACGACCGCAAGGUUGAAACUCAAAGGAAUUGACGGGGACCCGCACAAGCGGUGGAGCAUGUGGUUUAAUUCGAAGCAACGCGAAGAACCUUACCAAAUCUUGACAUCCUUUGACAACUCUAGAGAUAGAGCCUUCCCCUUCGGGGGACAAAGUGACAGGUGGUGCAUGGUUGUCGUCAGCUCGUGUCGUGAGAUGUUGGGUUAAGUCCCGCAACGAGCGCAACCCUUAAGCUUAGUUGCCAUCAUUAAGUUGGGCACUCUAAGUUGACUGCCGGUGACAAACCGGAGGAAGGUGGGGAUGACGUCAAAUCAUCAUGCCCCUUAUGAUUUGGGCUACACACGUGCUACAAUGGACAAUACAAAGGGCAGCGAAACCGCGAGGUCAAGCAAAUCCCAUAAAGUUGUUCUCAGUUCGGAUUGUAGUCUGCAACUCGACUACAUGAAGCUGGAAUCGCUAGUAAUCGUAGAUCAGCAUGCUACGGUGAAUACGUUCCCGGGUCU